CCAGCGUCAGAGCCGGUGGCAGUGGUGUUUCCUGUUGACGGAACCGAAGGCCAUGGGCAGUCAAGAGGUGCUGGGCCAGGCGGCCCGGCUGGCCACCUCCGGUCUCCUCUUGCAGGUGUUGUUUCGAUUGAUGACCUUUGUCUUGAAUGCAUUUAUUCUUCGCUUCCUAUCGAAGGAAAUUGUCGGCAUAGUGAAUGUAAGACUAACACUACUUUACUCUACCACUGUCUUCUUGGCCAGAGAGGCCUUCCGCAAAGCUUGUCUGAGUGGAGGUGCCCAGCGGGAUUGGAGCCAGACCCUCAACCUCCUAUGGCUAACAGUCCCAUUAGGUGUGUUUUGGUCCUUAUUCCUGGGCUGGGUCUGGCUGAAGUUGCUUGAAGUACCUGAUCCUGAUGUGGUCCCCCACUAUGGAACUGGAGUGGUGUUGUUUGGUCUCUCAGCAGUGGUGGAACUUCUAGGAGAGCCCUUCUGGGUCUUGGCACAAGCACAUAUGUUCAUCAGGCUCAAGGUGAUUGCUGAGAGCUUGUCAGUAAUCCUCAGGAGUGUCCUCAUAGCUUUGCUUGUGCUGUGGUUGCCUCACUUGGGACUGUACAUCUUCUCUUUGGCCCAGCUUUUUUAUACUGCAGUUUUGGUGCUUUGUUAUGUAUUUUAUUUCACAAAGUUACUGAGUUCCCCAGAAUCAAUCAGGCAACAAACUCUUCCUGUCUCCAGAAUAACAGAUCUGUUACCCAGUGUUACAGGAAGCAGAGCUUUUGUAAAUUGGAAAGAGGCUAAAUUGACUUGGAGUUUUUUCAAACAGUCUUUCUUGAAACAAAUUUUGACAGAAGGUGAGCGAUAUGUGAUGACAUUUUUUAACAUAUUAAAUUUUGGCGACCAGGGUGUAUAUGAUAUAGUCAAUAAUCUCGGGUCCCUUGUGGCAAGGUUAAUUUUCCAGCCAGUAGAGGAAAGUUUUUAUUUGUUCUUUGCUAAGGUGCUGGAGAGGGAAAAGGAUGCCACACUUCAGAAGCAGGAGGACAUUGCUGUCGCCGCUGCGGUUUUGGAGUCCCUGCUUAAGCUGGCCCUGCUGGCUGGCCUGACCAUCACUGUUUUUGGCUUUGCCUAUUCUCACCUGGCUCUAGAUAUUUAUGGAGGGACCAUGCUUAGCUCGGGAUCAGGUCCUGUUUUGCUGCGUUCCUAUUGUCUCUAUGUCCUCCUGCUUGCCAUCAAUGGAGUAACCGAGUGCUUCACGUUUGCAGCCAUGAGUAAAGAGGAGGUCGACAGGUACAAUUUCAUGAUGCUGGCACUGUCAUCCUCAUUCCUGGUGUUGUCCUAUCUCCUGACCCGUUGGUGUGGCAGCGUGGGCUUCAUCUUGGCCAAUUGCUUUAACAUGGGCAUUCGGAUCACGCAGAGCCUUUGCUUCAUCCACCACUACUACCUUGGGAGCCCCCACAAGCCUCUGGCAGGCCUGCACCUGACACCCACCCUCUUUGGGGUAUUUGCCCUCGCUGGUGGGAUUACUGGUAUUUCAGAGGUGUUCCUCUGCUGUGACCGGGGCUGGCCUGCCAGGCUGGCGCACAUUGCUGUGGGAGUGUUCUGCUUAGGAGUGACUCUGGGGACAGCAUUCCUCACCGAGACCAAGCUCAUCCACUUUCUGAGGACUCAGUUGGGUGUGUCCAGACUCACUGGCAAAAUGACAUGACUUCAGGGGCCUUUGGCACUGGACCAGUGGGGCCAUUUCUUGCGCCGAGCACAUUGCUGUGCAAAAGCCCAGCCAAGGGGUCUGCAGUGGAGCGAGAGCCACCCAGUAGGCUCCUUGCACCCCACAGGUGAGAGUGUCAGGCAUUAUCCUGGAGAAAAUAGCCAAAGGCAUGGCGUCCUGAGCCAUCAGACGUGAUCCAGAGCAUGGCCUUGGUCACGCCUUUGCUGGGCGGGGCCGGGCCAUCGCCGAAAAACAGAAUGGCCCGAGUGCACAGGAAUGGACCUUCGGUCCUGCACAAGUUCCUCCUCUCCUGCUGCUGACCACGCCUCGCUUCCUCCCUCCUCUCCCUCAGGACCUCUGCACCCCCCUCUACUCACCACACCACAACUCAAAGUGUGGUCCUUGCAUGGUCACUUGGAUGGUAAGGCAUGCGCGGCCUUGCACUUCUGAAGGAACCACGAGGUUCCUGCUCUCAGGUAGAAGCCCUGUGUCUGAUAGUGUGGCUCGUCCUCUUUUCUCUCCAUGCUACCCACUGGGUGCUGCUCUCCGGGUUUGCUUCUCUUGAACGAUGGGGACCCCUGCCCAGGACCCUCUCCCAUGUCCUGGUUUCCCGUUUCUAGGACAGGUCAUGCCACGGCCAUGUUUUCCACUGCUAGUACCUGCUUCCCUGAUCAUCAGCACCUUCGCCACAGCCCUCCUCAGUUCUCUGUCCCUGGCAGCCUCCCUGAAGCCACGGCCUCCGGUACUUCCCCUGCCACGCCCCCAGCAGCCUUGGGGCACUUUUGUGCAGUGGGUCAGGCUGCCUCACUUUAUGCAAGAAAGAUUUGGGGGACAGUCACACUCCUGGUUUCAAGUACCAUUGAAAAUAUAGUGAGGCUACUUCUCCAUGGGAACAAGCCUGUAAGGCACAUCCUUUUGUUUUUAUUUUAUUUAUUUACUUUGGGAUUUUUCAGAUAAGGUCUUACUAUGUAGUUCAGUUGAACUCACUUCGUAAGCCAGGCUGGCCUCGAGCUUGUGCCAGUCCUCCUGCCUCAGCCUCCUGAGUACUAGGAUUACAGGCGUGCCCCACCAUGCUCGGCAGCACGUAUUCUUACAACAGGAAGAAGCCUUUGGUGGCAAGAAUAAGAGUGUGCUAACUUUCUGCACUCCCCUGGCCACAUGGAAGCUCAGUCACUUCGGAGCUGACCUGGGCUCCCUCGGUGGGAACAUUCCAUGCUGCACUGUGCUCGCUCUGCAGCAACCCUCAGCUCUAGAGGUGCUGCCCGCCCUGCCCUGUUCCUGCCACUUCCCAGCCUGAUGCAAGUAUGGCCCUUCCUUCCUCCUGCCUGUUUUCCUUAAUCACGUGUUCAUAUUGCUAGUUUCAUGUUGGUCGCCUGGUUUAAAAAGAAAUUAAACUAUCUUCUUCACAUUCUUGUAAUGAUCUCCCUCCUUUUGUGCCUCCUUCCAGAGUGAAUCACAAAUUUCAUAGAGAAGGUGGGCAGAUGGCUCAAGUCUGUACUGUUUGAAAUCCUUACAGGGUCAUCUCUUCCUAUGUAGGUGUUGCAGCUAGGGAUUGUGGCUCCUGAUUUUGGAUCAGGGAAUGGUGGCCCGGAGCCUUCCUGCCUGGGACUGAGUUACCGGAGGGUCUCUCACUUCUCUUCUUAUCCUAAGCAGUGUUUCCCAUUUGUUUGUUUGUUUCUUUGCAGUACUGAGGAUCCAACUGAGGACCUUGCGCUUUUGAGGCAUGGUGCCACUGAGCUAAAUCCCCAGCCAUCCCCCCAUUGUUUAUUAUACUUUUCCUGCUCCAAUCUUCUCCAUCUGGCCUGGUCUUUGUCUUGGUUGCUUUUUAUUAAGCAGACCUUCCUGGAUGGGUCAGGACAAGUUCCCAUGCAGAACAGAGAAGCUGUUGUAGGAGACCUGCAACAGCCCCUCUACCCUUCUGUCUUCUUCAGUCAGGUGGUAGGAUUUUCUUUCAGUGGGCUCAUAGUCUUUUAUACCAGAAUUAGAGGAUCCUGGAAGUGCAGAUCCUACAAAGGAAGGCUCAGUGACUCAUUAAUCCUAAGACACACUAACUUCAGCAGGGAAUCUCUGUCUCUGACUGUCUGUCUGUCACCCACCCUCUCUCAGCCUCAGUCCUGAAGUUGAACCUAGGGCCUCACACAUGCUCCGCAAGUACUCUGUCUCUGAGCUUCAGCCCCAGUCCUCAUUGGGGUUCUAGCCGUGAUUUGGAGGAAGAGACUGGAACUGGGACCAUCCAGAACCUGCAGAGCAUGGACCCAGGGGAGAACCUGGGGAUACCCAGAAGGUAGGAUUGCCAAGGGCUGGGUGUGGCCUCUAAGCUGGAUGUAAUUGUGUCCAGCCAAGGAGUCAGAAGGAAUACGGUCCCUAGCCCAGUCUUGGAAGAGCUGUGAAUGAAAACAGGCUGUCCCUGGGUAGGAAGAGAAGAGGAAGCACAGGGGAAACCUUUCACACCGUUAUAAACCUCUACUCCUUAGGGAGACCAAGGAGAGGCAGAGGGUGACCUUUUGGCACUGAUGGCCAAGUGAGGAGGGAGUACCCAGGAGCCUGGUCUCCUGGACCUGGGGAACAGUCUCAGAAUGUUCUUCACAUGAGCUUCUCGGGGUCCUUAAGGGAGAGUUGUGGACAGCAAAGUGGAAGGCAGAACAGAGCCUGUCAGAUGGGUCAGAUAUGGAAAGAACAGCCAUGGCACGGUGUCAGGGCCCCCCUACCCCGGAAACUUCUUCAGACAAUAAAAUAUGACUGGAAAAAACAGCUGAACAAAACCACUAAAAUACAGAUUUUAUUUGCUGAUUACUCCCUGAGUGUCACCAAGGAACUGGAACUGUGUUUUUAAUUUAGAAAUGAGUCUUCUGGGCCAAUAAGAGAUGCAGAUGAAAAAUGGUUUGUUUUACUGUCAUUUACUGUACCUGGGUGAAUAACCCCCUUUUAUUUUUAUUUUGGGUUUCUCAUAUCAGAGAAACCAUGCAAUACUUAAGCUGUGUCUGAUUUAUUUCACCUCACAUUAUGUAUAUUAUUAGUGUGUGUUUGCAGUACAGAACAGUGAUGUUUUGGGAAAUUUAUAUAUAUAUUACAUCUUGAUCAUUUUCAAUCCCUUUACCCACCCUCCUUUACCUCCCCCUUCCCGGGAACCCCUUUCCCAUAUCCAAGAGACUGCCAUUUGUUUCCUGUCAUCUCUCCUGUUUUAUUCAUUUAUUUAUAGUCUAGGUUUCUCAUAUGAAGAAAACCAUGAGAUAUUUAACUUUCUGUAUCUGACUUACUUUACUGACUGACUUGUCUGAUGCUCUCAAGUUCUAUCGAUUUUCCUGCCAAUGACAUUAUUUCAUUUUUUACUUUUUUUCUCAGUGUAUGGUUUCAAUGCAUAGUAACUACAUAUAUAUUUCAUAUUUUGAUCAUUUAAAUCCCCUCCCUCCUCAUUCUCCCUGAUCCCCCAUCCUCAGAUCCCUUCCCAAACUCCCUGUUUCCUCCCAUCUC
This is a non-coding RNA of Heterocephalus glaber (naked mole-rat), 5149 nucleotides long. The record is from RefSeq and is a predicted model, not a curated record. Lineage: Eukaryota; Metazoa; Chordata; Mammalia; Rodentia; Bathyergidae.